UGAGGAAUAUUGCGCAAUGGGCGAAAGCCUGACGCAGCAACGCCGCGUGAGGGACGAAGGCCUUCGGGUCGUAAACCUCUUUUCUGGGGAAAGAGCAAGGACGGUACCUCAGGAAUAAGUCUCGGCUAACUACGUGCCAGCAGCCGCGGUAAAACGUAGGAGGCGAGCGUUAUCCGGAUUUACUGGGCGUAAAGCGCACGCAGGCGGCUUCGUUAGUCGGGUGUGAAAGCUCCUAGCUUAACUGGGAGAGGCCAUUCGAUACUGCGAGGCUUGAGGUUGGGAGAGGGGUGUGGAAUUCCCGGUGUAGUGGUGGAAUGCGUAGAUAUCGGGAGGAACACCUGUGGCGAAAGCGGCACCCUGGCCCACACCUGACGCUGAGGUGCGAAAGCGUGGGGAGUAAACAGGAUUAGAUACCCUGGUAAUCCACGCUGUAAACGAUGUCAACUGGGUGUCGGUAGCUUUACGCUAUCGGUGCCGAAGCAAACGCGUUAAGUUGACCGCCUGGGGACUACGGCCGCAAGGCUA
RNAcentral lists this ribosomal RNA (525 nucleotides) under uncultured bacterium. RNAcentral describes it as "bacterial SSU rRNA". It matches the Rfam family "Bacterial small subunit ribosomal RNA", at positions 355 to 896 of the family's 1533-position model. The record is from RNAcentral.